This 1103-nucleotide ribosomal RNA is filed under the name metagenome. RNAcentral's name for it is "bacterial SSU rRNA". It matches the Rfam family "Bacterial small subunit ribosomal RNA", at positions 404 to 1520 of the family's 1533-position model. The record is from RNAcentral.
AGGGAGGAAGGCCAUUGGGUUGUAAACCUCUUUUCUCAGGGAAGAAGAUCUGACGGUACCUGAGGAAUAAGCGUCGGCUAACUCCGUGCCAGCAGCCGCGGUAAUACGGAGGAUGCAAGCGUUAUCCGGAAUCAUUGGGCGUAAAGCGUCCGCAGGUGGUUUUUCAAGUCUGCUGUUAAAGACUGGAGCUCAACUCCGGAAAGGCAGUGGAAACUGAGAAACUAGAGUUCGGUAGGGGUAGCGGGAAUUCCCAGUGUAGCGGUGAAAUGCGUAGAUAUUGGGAAGAACAUCGGUGGCGAAGGCGCGCUACUGGACCGAAACUGACACUCAGGGACGAAAGCUAGGGUAGCGAAAGGGAUUAGAUACCCCUGUAGUCCUAGCUGUAAACGAUGGAAACUAGGUGUGGCUUGUAUCGACCCGAGCCGUGCCGUAGCUAACGCGUUAAGUUUCCCGCCUGGGGAGUACGCACGCAAGUGUGAAACUCAAAGGAAUUGACGGGGGCCCGCACAAGCGGUGGAGUAUGUGGUUUAAUUCGAUGCAACGCGAAGAACCUUACCAGGGCUUGACAUGUCGCGAAUCUUGGUGAAAGCUGAGAGUGCCUUCGGGAGCGCGAACACAGGUGGUGCAUGGCUGUCGUCAGCUCGUGUCGUGAGAUGUUGGGUUAAGUCCCGCAACGAGCGCAACCCUCGUCUUUAGUUGCCAGCAUUAAGUUGGGCACUUUAGAGAGACUGCCGGUGACAAACCGGAGGAAGGUGGGGAUGACGUCAAGUCAGCAUGCCCCUUACGCCCUGGGCUACACACGUACUACAAUGGUUGGGACAAAGGGCAGCAAACCCGCGAGGGUAAGCGAAUCUCAUCAAACCCAGCCUCAGUUCAGAUUGCAGGCUGCAACUCGCCUGCAUGAAGGAGGAAUCGCUAGUAAUCGCAGGUCAGCAUACUGCGGUGAAUUCGUUCCCGGGCCUUGUACACACCGCCCGUCACACCAUGGAAGCUGGUCACGCCCGAAGUAGUUACCCUAACCUUUCGGGGGGGGGGACUCCUAAGGCAGGGCUAGUGACUGGGGUGAAGUCGUAACAAGGUAGCCGUACCGGAGGGUGUGGCUG